AAAGAGAUCAGGAACAAGUAAACAAGUAAAUGGCUUAAUCAGAGUAGGGGAGAGAACAGACAGGUUACUUUGAAUAGGUAAAUAGAAUGUAAGAGGAGGAAGAGGAGGACAAUGAGGAAUAUGGAACAAGGAUCAAAACGGGGAGGAGGAGGAGGAGGAGGAGUUGUAAAAGCGAGAGAUAAAAGAGAGUAAGAACAUAUUAUUUUCACAGUAAAGGAGCAGCUCAAGUGCCAAAAAAUAAAUAAAAGAACAAAAAAACAUGUGCAUUGUCCUUAUAAAAGAAAGUAGAGAAGUAAACGAAUGAAAGGAUAAUCAAAAGACGGGAAAGAAGAAAAGAAAAACGGGAAACAGUCAAACAGGGAGGCAAGUCAAAACGUUCAUAAGGGUAACUACUUUAUUUUAACCAUAGGUGGGCCUAGGAGAAAUAAAGGAGUAUAGAAAUAAACAAAUCAAAGCAUAAACAAAAGACGGACAAGAAAAGAAAAACGGGAAACAGCCAAACAGGGAGGCAAGUCAAAAGUGGUUAAAAGGGGUAACUACUUUAAUUUAACCAUAGUUGGGCGUAGAGAAGUAACGAACGAUUAUAAAAAAUAAACAAAUCAGAGCAUAACCAAAAGACGGGCAAGAAAAGAAAACGGGAAACAGUCAAACAGGGUUGCGAGUCAAAACGUUCAUAAGGGUAACUACUUUAUUUUAACCAUAGUGGACCUAGAGAAGUAAAGAACGAGUAGAAAAAUAUACAAAUCAAAGCAUAACCAAAAGACGGACAAGAAAAGAAAAACGGGAAACAGUCAAACAGGGAGGCAAGUCAAAAGUGGUUAAAAGGGGUAACUACUUUAAUUUAACCAUAGGUGGGCCUAGGAGAAAUAAAGGAGUAUAGAAAUAAACAAAUCAAAGCAUAAACAAAAGACGGACAAGAAAAGGAAAACGGGAAACAGCCAAACAGGGAGGCAAGUCAAAAGUGGUUAAAAGGGGUAACUACUUUAAUUUAACCAUAGUUGGGCGUAGAGAAGUAACGAACGAUUAUAAAAAAUAAACAAAUCAGAGCAUAACCAAAAGACGGGCAAGAAAAGAAAACGGGAAACAGUCAAACAGGGUUGCGAGUCAAAACGUUCAUAAGGGUAUCUACUUUAUUUUAACCAUAGUGGACCUAGAGAAGUAAAGAACGAGUAGAAAAAUAUACAAAUCAAAGCAAAACCAAAAGACGGACAAGAAAAGAAAAACGGGAAACAGUCAAACAGGGAGGCAAGUCAAAAGUGGUUAAAAGGGGUAACUACUUUAAUUUAACCAUAGGUGGGCCUAGGAGAAAUAAAGGAGUAUAGAAAUAAACAAAUCAAAGCAUAAACAAAAGACGGACAAGAAAAGAAAAACGGGAAACAGCCAAACAGGGAGGCAAGUCAAAAGUGGUUAAAAGGGGUAACUACUUCAAUUUAACCAUAGUUGGGCGUAGAGAAGUAACGAACGAUUAGAAAAAUAAACAAAUCAAAGCAUAACCAAAAGAC
This is a long non-coding RNA of Eriocheir sinensis (Chinese mitten crab), 1502 nucleotides long. RefSeq lists it as uncharacterized. NCBI's taxonomy places the organism in Eukaryota, Metazoa, Arthropoda, Malacostraca, Decapoda, Varunidae. The transcript has 4 exons. The record is from RefSeq and is a predicted model, not a curated record.